UACGUAGGUGGCAAGCGUUGUCCGGAAUUAUUGGGCGUAAAGAGCGCGCAGGUGGUUGAUUAAGUCUGAUGUGAAAGCCCACGGCUUAACCGUGGAGGGUCAUUGGAAACUGGUCGACUUGAGUGCAGAAGAGGGAAGUGGAAUUCCAUGUGUAGCGGUGAAAUGCGUAGAGAUAUGGAGGAACACCAGUGGCGAAGGCGGCUUCCUGGUCUGUAACUGACACUGAGGCGCGAAAGCGUGGGGAGCAAACAGGAUUAGAUA
Molecule: ribosomal RNA, 261 nt
Filed under: uncultured prokaryote
Description: partial 16S ribosomal RNA
Rfam family: Bacterial small subunit ribosomal RNA
Source: RNAcentral